Molecule: ribosomal RNA, 253 nt
Filed under: uncultured bacterium
Lineage: Bacteria
Description: partial 16S ribosomal RNA
Rfam family: Bacterial small subunit ribosomal RNA
Source: RNAcentral
UACGGAGGGUGCGAGCGUUGUCCGGAAUCACUGGGCGUAAAGGGCGCGUAGGUGGCACGGCAAGCGUGCGGUGAAAGCCCGGGGCUCAACUCCGGGUCGGCCGUGCGAACUGCCGUGCUGGAGCAUGGUAGAGGCAGGUGGAAUUCCGGGUGUAGCGGUGGAAUGCGUAGAGAUCCGGAAGAACACCGGUGGCGAAGGCGGCCUGCUGGGCCAUGGCUGACACUGAGGCGCGACAGCGUGGGGAGCAAACAGG